CCUUCCCGUGAGGCGAGGGAGCUUCCAAGAUCAUUUUUCCCUUUCUUUUCCUCAUUCUAUAGCUCCCAAAUUUCUAGGUUUUCCUUUUUGCUAUCCGCCAUCCUCUCUGAUCCUCCUGCACAGCUGCCACCAUCGCCUCCUCCCAGAUUACCUCGCAGCCGCCUCCUGCUCGCCUAGCGACGCCGGGAUGCAGCGCCUCCCUCCCCCGUCCUGCUCACGAGGCACCAGGGGCCAUGCGCCCAGGACUUCGCCCCACCCCCUACGUCAGCACCCCCUUGCACUAUGCGCCCCCUCCCCAGCCUCGCCCUAGGGCCCCCGCGAAGCUCUGCGCCGCCGCCAAUUCUGCUCGCCGAGCAGAACGCCGCCGCCCCUUCCCGGCCAAGAUCCGGCCGAUCCCGAGCAGCCCCGACGCCGGGUCCGAUGCUUGUGUGACGUUAGAAAGAGCGCGAUCGAAGAAUUUUGAAAAUUAAGAGUUUCGGGAACAAAGUUGAAGACACCGAGCAGCUGUUCUUUGGAAGAAAUGCAAGUGUUUACUUGAUUAUUUUUUCUAAUAAUUAUAAUAGAUACAACUCUCUUUAUGCAUGCACGUGUAUUAACCUGAUGGAUCCUAAUUAAGGAUAUGUCUAGCCUUUAUGAUCAUUUCUUGUCAACCUGAGUUUUAUCCUUUUGUUGGGUAGCUUCUACUCAGUUGCUAUAGCUGGUUCCGGUUUGGGAAUAAAUUAUAACUAUGAUGACAACAAUGAUGAUGCUACACAUAUUUUAUCCA
Molecule: long non-coding RNA, 766 nt
Organism: Panicum hallii
Lineage: Eukaryota; Viridiplantae; Streptophyta; Magnoliopsida; Poales; Poaceae
Exons: 2
Source: RefSeq, a predicted model, not a curated record